CCUACGGGAGGCAGCAGUGGGGAGUAUUGGACAAUGGGCGAAAGCCUGAUCCAGCCAUGCCGCGUGUGUGAAGAAGGCCUUCGGGUUGUAAAGCACUUUCAGUGGGGAAGAAAGCCUUGGGGCUAAUACCCUCGAGGAAGGACAUCACCCACAGAAGAAGCACCGGCUAACUCCGUGCCAGCAGCCGCGGUAAUACGGAGGGUGCGAGCGUUAAUCGGAAUUACUGGGCGUAAAGCGCGCGUAGGCGGUCUGAUAAGCCGGUUGUGAAAGCCCCGGGCUCAACCUGGGAACGGCAUCCGGAACUGUCAGGCUAGAGUGCAGGAGAGGAAGGUAGAAUUCCCGGUGUAGCGGUGAAAUGCGUAGAGAUCGGGAGGAAUACCAGUGGCGAAGGCGGCCUUCUGGACUGACACUGACGCUGAGGUGCGAAAGCGUGGGUAGCAAACAGGAUUAGAUACCCCGGUAGUC
Molecule: ribosomal RNA, 465 nt
Filed under: Vreelandella stevensii
Lineage: Bacteria; Pseudomonadati; Pseudomonadota; Gammaproteobacteria; Oceanospirillales; Halomonadaceae
Description: partial 16S ribosomal RNA
Rfam family: Bacterial small subunit ribosomal RNA
Source: RNAcentral